AGGUGGCGUGCCGUGGUUGAUCAGUUGGCCACGUUAAAAGCUGAUCAAACAACAACUGCUGAUAAGAGCUUUGCUCUGGCUGCCUAGUUAUAGGUAGUCCCGGCUGAGGAAUCCCCGCCUGAGGAGUCCAGAAGCCGGACAAAAAUUCAGGCUGGUUCCGCGUCAAUACGGGUUACGCGCGGCACGAGAGAGUUGUUACCGGUUGGCGUCGGACGGGCCUUGUCGAGUGAGCCUGCCGACGCGACGGAAUCAAGCGACUAUGCACGUAGAGGCUUCGUCCAAGGUGUCUCAGGACGCGGGUUCAAUUCCCGCCGCCUCCAUCA
Molecule: transfer-messenger RNA, 323 nt
Filed under: Planctomycetota bacterium
Lineage: Bacteria; Pseudomonadati; Planctomycetota
Description: partial transfer-messenger RNA
Rfam family: transfer-messenger RNA
About the family: Bacterial tmRNA, also known as 10Sa RNA or SsrA, is named for its dual tRNA and mRNA-like properties.
Source: RNAcentral